RNAcentral lists this long non-coding RNA (247 nucleotides) under Medicago truncatula (barrel medic). RNAcentral describes it as "lncRNA gene28899". The record is from RNAcentral. Lineage: Eukaryota; Viridiplantae; Streptophyta; Magnoliopsida; Fabales; Fabaceae.
CUAUUUAAUUAAUUCUUUUGAGGUGUUAGAUUGGAGAAAAUUGGUGCUUAUUAAGUAUUACUGUAAAAUUGGUGAUGUGGACAAAGAGGAUCCACUUAAGCACCUAAUGUGGGGUGCUCCUCUAUUGUGGAUGGUCUUAAACUUGAUAAUUGCCUUGUGCUCCAAGCCCGAUUCGCAAUUGUAUGUGGCCCAGCACGCGCUUGGCAUGUGAAUACAAUGAAAAACAUAAUGUUAGCAUGCAUCAUAU